This 720-nucleotide ribosomal RNA is filed under the name Triticum aestivum (bread wheat). RNAcentral describes it as "partial small subunit ribosomal RNA". The record is from RNAcentral. Lineage: Eukaryota; Viridiplantae; Streptophyta; Magnoliopsida; Poales; Poaceae.
AUGGGGCCGAGCGAUGGGGGAUGCUACAAGCUGCUCGCCGCCGGUGCUAGAGCCGGCCAGGAUGGGAGCUACAACUGGCAAACUUUUUUGCUACAACCGACUACACAUAUGCUGGAACCGGCCGUUUUUUUAGCUACAACUCGCGGAGCAGCAACGGUGGCAUGUUGUUUUUGCUGGAACCGGCACCUGGAUUUGCUGGAACUGGCGAUCAAAAUUGCUACAUCCAUCGCUGCGAGCAAACCUCCAAGUGCUGGAACCGACGACUUGUUUUGCUGCAAUCGGCAAGAAGUUUGCUGGAACCAGCAAAUGCUCGAUACUGGUUUGGGGCGUGACGGCGAGCUACGACCGGCCGACCAGAGAAAAAGCUACAAUAAUAUUCUAGAAAAGCAACAAUGGUGGUACACGAAGCUGCAACCCAUCGUGCGACGAGCACCGGCGACCAGAGAAAAAAGCUGCAAUUGUUUUCCGAGAAGCUACUACCGGCGACAUCAAUUUGUUACCACCAUUCAUGGCGGUGACCGGCAACUGGAAUUGGCGCUGCUACAACUGUGCUUAUGGGAGCUGCAACCAUCGGAGCUUUUUCGUCGGAGAAUGCUACCACGUUGUCUCGCACAAGCUACAACCAUACACGCGCAAAGCUGCAAGCAUUGUUGUUUUUGCUACAACCACUGCUACGAACUGCAGCCAACAGGCAUCGGGAGAAAGGCGCGUUGUUCGUAG